Long non-coding RNA from Coregonus clupeaformis (lake whitefish), 2508 nucleotides. RefSeq lists it as uncharacterized. NCBI's taxonomy places the organism in Eukaryota, Metazoa, Chordata, Actinopteri, Salmoniformes, Salmonidae. The record is from RefSeq and is a predicted model, not a curated record. The transcript has 7 exons.
AUCCAUUCCCCUGCCAAGAUUUCUUCCCAGUUUCCGUCAGUGAUCUCUUUGAGGCUGCUCGGUUUGGCCAAAGCUGGCUGCGACGUCAGAAUAUGCAAGUUGAGGCUUAAAGUAGCUAGCUACAGAUAUUGAAGCAGGAUGAGCUGGGCCGUGGAGGAGUGGAAGGAUGGUCUUCCAGGCAAAGCCCUGCAGAAAAUACAAGAGAUUGAGGGACAGCUGGACAAGCUGAAGAAGGAGAGGACUCAGAAACAGUUCCUGCUCGACUCACUGGAGGCUGCUCUACAGAAACAGAAACAAAAGGAUGGUGACGACUUAUGAUGCUGAAUUCAAUAACGAUUCUUUCUAGAAGGGGACAUUUUGUCUGACGUUCAAUGUUUUAAAUGCGUGUGUUCUCCCGGUGGACAGUCAGAAGAGUGAGGCGUCUGCCGUAAAGAGGGAGAACCAGUCCUUAGUAGAGUCAUGUGAUGCCCUGGAGAAGGCCCGUCAGAAGGCAACCCACGACCAGGGGGAAAGAGAACAACAGGUCAGCUCAACACCAGCAAGAAGACCAUAGAACGACUGGAGCAGGAACUCAAGAAUUAUAAGAAUGAAAAGGACCAUUCUCAGCCCUCCCACUCCUCUGAUCUACAGUCCUACAGCACUCCUCAGAAGACCUUCGCCACUCCUGCUGCUACUCCCAUCUACAGACAGCAUGACUCCAGGCUGGAGGACCUUCAGGAGAGAUACAACCAGGAGGUAGAGGAGAGGAAGAGACGGAGGCUGAACUCAAAAUCACACAGGUCAAAUUGUUGAACCAGUCGUCCGUCAGUAAUAAAGACAUUGCCGCCCGGCAACAGGCAGGCUCCUCAGUAUUCCCAAGGCAACAGCAGGACCAGGGCUGCCAGUCCAAGGGUAAUAUUGAAACGCCCCUGAAGAGGCGGGGCGGGGGUGGGACAUCCUCUGAUGGCUUCUUGUGGAAUGCAGAGGAGACGCCAAUCAAACCCGGCCAGCGAUUCAGCACGUCUGUAUCGCAGUUUGACUCUGAUGGCUCCUCCUCCCUGCAGAUGGAACAGCUGAUGAUGCUGAAACAAGAGCUAAAGAAUAACGUGUCUUAGCUGGAGCAGCGUCGGCGGUCACAGGAGAAGGAUGCGAGGCUGCAGAGCGGCAGGCUCCAGGAGCUUCAAGGCCAGCUGGACCAGGCUAGGAGAGACCUGACAGACAGAGACAAGACCCUGGACAAGACCAGGGAUGAACUCAGCAAGGUUACCACUCAGCACGAACAGGCUGUUGCCAAGUGUGUGUCAGUGGAGCAGAAGUUGAAGCAGGUCUCUGAGGAGAUAUCCUGCCAGAGGCACAAUGCUGAGAGCUGCAGACGAGCCCUGGAACCGAAGGUCAAUGACCAGGAGAAGGAGAGGCAGAAAGUCUGCCGUUGUUCUUUGUAUCUUUAGUCUUUGUAGUCUAAAUUAAUUCCGCGAAUCCACAUUGAAGGCUCGGAACAGAACGUUUUUCUUUCACCGGUUGACAAUUGCUCUGUGGCAACUUCAAUCGCUGUUACCAUGUUUGUUUGUUUCUUGUGAAACAGCUGUUGCUGAAGGGAGGUGUAUACAUUGAUAUUGUGUUUAUGUGUAGGAGCUGUCCCACCUCCGUUGUGCAUGUAAUAUGACAAAUUAUGUAAGUAUUUUUGUUAAGAGAGGGAUGUGAUUUGAGAAGCUAUAAGAGAUAAUUGUUUUCCAUAAGCUUUGCACAGUGAGUAGUCACCGCCAGCAUGCUGGAACCGCCCCUUUUGAGCAGAAUGUAUAAAUGAUAGAUUAAGAAAAAACACAUCAGACCAGAAAAGCGUGAAGCGGCAGCUACACGUCUAAAAUGGUUGGAACUUUGAAUCUCAACACGAGGUGAAGAAAAGAAACUCACCUCCCAGACAAUCACUGGUACGGCUGAUUAGCUGUCCUAAGUAAGGUAUCUUCGAAAGCGAAUUUAAGUAAGUAGGACCAUCUGCUACUCUGCUCCAACUAUCGUAUUACGCUACUCUCAUCACCCCACUGGGGAACCAUCGAUACGGCUGGCUAUCCUAUCUUCAAAGAAGCAACUUCAAGAGCGAAUAGAAGGGAAAUCAAUUCUGUAGUUCUGUUCAGGACUACAUGACAAGGUAACGGAUACCGGACAUCUACGAGGAAGGACAACAGUAGAAGACUGUUGGAACCAUUUCGGACAAUCAGACCCUUACCAGCGUGCCGUGAAAAGGCCACAACCCACUUUCUAAGGCUGCCCUGUCCACCGAGAGAUCCCCGGCGCACCCAGGCAUUUCACGUAAAUACAUUCAUGAUUUCUUACUCAAAGCGGGCGGCGGUUCGUGUGCGAAGUAUAUGGUUACUGUAGGUGAAAGUAGUUUCUGAAUGUACCAAUGUUAAGUGUCUCUGUCCCUCUGUCCCUCCCUUUCCAUCUCUUCUUUAACUAGCAGCCAUGUUGUUGUCAUUCUGCUAGGGACCUGUUUUCUCCAGUCAAUAACCGGUGCAGAGUGUGUGUGUUUAU